AUAGACAGACACUGGGGUGCA
Molecule: non-coding RNA, 21 nt
Filed under: Rattus norvegicus (Norway rat)
Lineage: Eukaryota; Metazoa; Chordata; Mammalia; Rodentia; Muridae
Source: RNAcentral